Molecule: ribosomal RNA, 399 nt
Filed under: uncultured bacterium
Lineage: Bacteria
Description: partial 16S ribosomal RNA
Rfam family: Bacterial small subunit ribosomal RNA
Source: RNAcentral
AAUAUUGCACAAUGGGGGAAACCCUGAUGCAGCGACGCCGCGUGAGUGAAGAAGUAUUNCGGUAUNUNAAGCUCUAUCAGCAGGGNAGAAAAUGACGGUACCUGACUAAGACGCCCCGGCUAACUACGUGCCAGCAGCCGCGGUAAUACGUAGGGGGCAAGCGUUAUCCGGAUUUACUGGGUGUAAAGGGAGCGUAGGUGGCAAAUCAAGUCAGUUGUCAUAGCCCGGGGCUCAAGCCCGGGAUUGCAUUUGAAACUGGUAUGCUAGAGUGCAGGAGAGGUAAGUGGAAUUCCUAGUGUAGCGGUGAAAUGCGUAGAUAUUAGGAGGAACACCAGUGGCGAAGGCGGCUUACUGGGCUGUAACUGACACUGAGGCUCGAAAGCGUGGGGAGCAAACAGG